AUUCUUGAAGGCGAGGCCCAAUAAGCAAAUUCCCAGCCCAAUCAAGAAAUCCAUCCAUACUUAGUUGAAAAUCAGGCCAAAUUGUCAAAGUGGCCCAAGUUGUAAAGUUUUAUUUUUAUUUAUUUAUUUAUUUACUUAGUUUAAAUUUUUAUGUCAAUAUUCAGUCCAAGAGUCCCAGAUAAAAUGACCUUUGAUCGAAUUUCCAUAUUAAAAUAAUUAGGAGUUUUUUUUAUUUUAGUUUUCUAAUUAGAUUAGGACUAGUUAUAAGGCCUAUUUAAAGGCAUGGCUGUCCACCUUGUUAAACACUUAUCAUUAUUAUUAAAAUUUCAGAUUUGUUGAGAGCAGAAUUUUCUUUGAGUUUUCUCCAAGAUUUCUCUAUUGAGUUUUCUUUAGAAGUUGUUUUAACAAUCUUGUGAUUGUGGGAGCCAUCUUCAACCUUCUUCUUGCCAUUGAUAUUCUUUGGAGGGGAGAUUAGAGCCGUUUGAAGGGAGUUGUGAGAUCUUUCGAGAUUUCAAGGCUUCUUAGGACUUAUCUUUUAAUUUCUUACUGUCAAUUCUUUCUUUAUUUCUACUUGUGCUGAAUCAUUAUCUAAUCUAUUUUCUGUUCUUAUUGUGUUUUCAGCCUUUUUCUAUCUUAAGGAAUUAGCCCAAAAAUCCCCAAUUUUUAGGGUUCUUGCCGAUUCAUCCAUACUCUUUUUGGGUGAAAUUAGAUUGCUGAAAUUUGGGGAAAACUAUCUGGGUGUUCAAUUGGGCAGAAUCGCAAUCUCUUCUAGGGUUUCAAGAUUCCUUAUUAACACUUAUUUCUAUUCUCUAUUUAAUUCUUUACUUUUUUGGGGAUUUUAUUUCAGAUCUGAAAAUUCAAAAAUCUAAUCUUUUAAUUUUCUGUUUCGUUUCAAAUCUAAUUGUUUAGGGUUUUCGUAGGAGUUUCUCGUGACUUGGCAACUCGAUCUUGGUCCGCGCGCAACCUCGUAUCACUCACCUUAGUGCCGCUCACUCUGGAACAAGUCUAUGAGGACCAAAUCAAACUGAAAAAUUCUGUUAAAACAAGUGAGGAAAAAGAAAAAGAGAAUGAAAAAGAGCAAAAAGAGAUUGAGAGUGAAAAAGAAAUUGAAGAAAGAAGAGAAAAUGAAUUAGAAAAAGAAACAAAAGAAAAAGACGUGGAAAGGGUAGUGAGGAAUGUUUCCACUAACCAAGAUAUGAAUUUUUCUUGUGUUGCUACUUUUCAGGUUCCCGAAAGAUCGAAAGAUAACUUUCAACUUCAAUACCUCUCAAAUGAAAGACGCUUUCAUACGAUCAACUUAGGCAAAGAUGAAAUCACACUACAUGAUCCCGAAGGUAAGCGAGGUAAGGAAAUUUUAGAAACCGAGUCCAGUGCAGAUUUGAAAAUUAUUGAUAAAACUUUUGGUGACUUAGUUCUUAAAAGAUCCCCUCAUUUUGAUCCGAUUAAUUGUUACUCUUCGAUUGUGGUUGAUAAAGUCAUUACGAAAAGAAGCGUGAUUUGUUAUUCUCUUGAUUUACCUUGUGUAAAAUCCUCGAAUUUGUCCAAAUCUGUUUUGGAGAAUAAGGUAACGAAAUUUUCCAAAUUUGUUUUCAACUUAUAUUCGUGCCUUAAACAGUUUAUGUGGUUGUACAUGAAGUUUGAGUUCCAUUUGACAAAGGUUAACUCAACAACGGAGAUUCGACUACACUAUGCCCCCGAUGAGCGAAGGUUUGUUUUAAAUGAAAAAGGUAAAAUCGACCCUUAUUCUUCUGCUUAUCGAGGUAAGAUGCUUGAAACCUUUGAAACACUUUUGUACUCCUCGGAUAGUGAUAAAGAUCGUGUUGAUGAACACUUAGAUCGAAACGUGCUUGACUGUCCUAUUUUAUUUAUUGAUGAUCUAUCUGUUUUGAUGGUUGAUAAAAAGAUUCUUGUUUUUGAUAAUGCAUGUGUGAGUGAAUCUAUAGACCAUCGAUUAAUGCAUGGUAUGAUUAUGCAACUCUGUGAACCAUGUGAAUCUUUUCAAAUACCUACUUGUGACGAUUAUGUUUACCAUUUGAUUUAUUACUCGCAAUUUAUUCAUGGUUUGUGGGAACAAUGUGAGACGAUUGAAUGCCUUAAAACAUGUCCAUCUUUGUUUCAAAUAUUUGACGAGGCAGUGGUGAGUAAAUUAGAUUGUUUGCAUGGUAAUAUGAAUCUGUCCAUUCACAUGCGUUAUACCUGUUCUGUUAUGCUUAUAAUUGGACUACAAGCUUGUUUCCGUUGCUAUUUACUAUCUCAUGGCUAUUCUUUUCAGUGGACUCAAUUGCCAUUAGUCCCGUUCGAUAGAGGAAAGUCGAGUUCAUUUGAUUUUUCAGAUUCGAGGACGAAUCUUUUUGAGGAAGGGGGGAAUGAUACGAGUCACAAAAGCCCAAAUUCUUGAAGGCGAGGCCCAAUAAGCAAAUUCCCAGCCCAAUCAAGAAAUCCAUCCAUACUUAGUUGAAAAUCAGGCCAAAUUGUCAAAGUGGCCCAAGUUGUAAAGUUUUAUUUUUAUUUAUUUAUUUAUUUAUUUACUUAGUUUAAAUUUUUAUGUCAAUAUUCAGUCCAAGAGUCCCAGAUAAAAUGACCUUUGACCGAAUUUCCAUAUUAAAAUAAUUAGG
Molecule: long non-coding RNA, 2615 nt
Filed under: Gossypium barbadense (sea-island cotton)
Lineage: Eukaryota; Viridiplantae; Streptophyta; Magnoliopsida; Malvales; Malvaceae
Description: long non-coding RNA (GBAR_LNC004367)
Source: RNAcentral